This is a long non-coding RNA of Homo sapiens (human), 2193 nucleotides long. Ensembl annotates it as OIP5 antisense RNA 1. Its record names the gene OIP5-AS1. The record is from Ensembl. Lineage: Eukaryota; Metazoa; Chordata; Mammalia; Primates; Hominidae.
GAGAAGCUGCGAAGAUGGCGGAGUAAGGCGUGCCGCUGCAAACUGGCCUCUGGGCCGGGGGCGAGCAGCCCCCGGGAGGCCGAGUGCAUCUGUUGGACCGUGCGAGGAGAAGAAAAAAAAUAUCGGCCAGAGGAGAGGAACUAACCGAACAUUCUUCCUCCCUACCUUAUAGAGGGGAGUGGUCAUCUACACUAAAGCAAAGUGUUAGGCGCGUCCGUGCGAAGAGACCACCAAACAGGCUUUGUGUUCCUUAUCACAGGAAGAAAAUUUUCCUUGACCUUUAGGUGCUUUUAUAUUCAUCUCAAAAACAAAAUUCUGAACUCAGGACUUGGCAAACCACCGCUGAAACUUCACUUCUACACAGAGGCUUUCUUUCCCAGAAACCCAGACCAGAUGGAGUUUCACUCUGUCGCCCAGGCUGGAGUGCAGUGGCACGAUCUCGGCUGACUGCAGCCUCUACCUGCUGGGUUCAAGCAAUUCUUCUGCCUCAGGUUCCUGAGUAGCUGGGAUUACAGAAGUGACCUCUCAAGGCAGCCAGGGCAGCAUGGGUAGAAUACAGAUGGAAACCAACGGGAAUCCCACAAGAACCACAGAAUAAAAGGUUCCAAAGCUGGACUGUACUGCUGCCAUCUCGGCUCACUGCAACCUCCCUGCCUGAUUCUCCUGCCUCAGCCUGCCGAGUGCCUGCGAUUGCAGGCACGCGCCGCCACACUUGACAGGUUUUCAUAUUUUUUUGGUGGAGACGGGGUUUCGCUGUGUUGGCUGGGCUGGUCUCCAGCUCCUAACCGCGAGUGAUCCACCAGCCUCGGCCUCCCAGGGUGCCGGGAUUGCAGACGGAGUCUCGUCUCGUUCACUCAGUGCUCAAUGGUGCCCAGGCUGGAGUGCAGUGGCAUGAUCUUGGCUCGCUACAACCUCCACCUCCCAGCCGCCUGCCUUGGCCUCCCAAAGUGCCGAGAUUACAGCCUCUGCCCAGCCGCCACCCCGUCUGGGAAGUGAGGAGCGUCUCUGCCUGGCCACCCAUCGUCUGGGAUGUGAGGAGCCCCUCUGCCUGGCUGCCCAGUCUGGAAAGUGAGGAGCGUCUCUGCCCGCCCGCCAUCCCAUCUAGGAAGUGAGGAGCGCCUCUUCCCGGCCGCCAUCCCAUCUAGGAAGUGAGGAGCGUCUCUGCCCGGCCUCCCAUGGUCUGAGAUGUGGGGAACGCCUCUGCCCUGCCGCCCCGUCUGGGAUGUGAGGAGCGCCUCUGCCCGGCCGCGACCCUGCCUGGGAGGUGAGGAGCGUCUCUGCCCGGCUGCCCCAUCUUGAGAAGUGAGGAGACCCUCCGCCCGGCAGCCUCCCUGUCUGAGAAGUGAGGAGCCCCUCCGCCCGGCAGCCACCCCAUCUGGGAAGUGAGGAGCGUCUCCGCCCGGCAGCCACCCUGUCGGGGAGGGAGGUGGGGGGUCAGCCCCCCGCCCAGCCAGCCGCCCCGUCCAGGAGGGAGGUGGGGGGGUCAGCCCCCCGCCCGGCCAGCCGCCCCGUCCGGGAGGGAGGUGGGGUGGUCCAGCCCCCCGCCCGGCCAGCCGUCCCGUCCUGGAGGGAGGUGGGGGGGUCAGCCCCCCGCCCGGCCAGCCGCCCCGUCCGCGAGGUGAUGGGCGCCUCUGCCCGGCCGCCCCUACUGGGAAGUGAGGAGCCCCUCUGCCCGGCCACCACCCUGUCUGGGAGGUGUACCCAACAGCUCAUUGAGAAUGGGCCAUGAUGACAAUGGCAGUUUUGUGGAAUAGAAAAGGGGGAAAGGUGGGGAAAAGAUUGAGAAAUCGGAUGGCUGCUGUGUCUGUGUAGAAAGAAGUAGACAUGGGAGACUUUUCAUUUUGUUCUGUACUAAGAAAAAUUCUUCUGCCUUGGGAUCCUGUUGAUCUAUGACCUUACCCCCAAUCCUGUGCUCUCUGAAACAUGUGCUGUGUCCACUCAGGGUUAAAUGGAUUAAGGGCGGUGCAAGAUGUGCUUUGUUAAACAGAUGCUUGAAGGCAGCAUGCUCCUUAAGAGUCAUCACCACUCCCUAAUCUCAAGUACCCAGGGACACAAACACUGCGGAAGGCCGCAGGGUCCUCUGCCUAGGAAAACCAGAGACCUUUGUUCACUUGUUUAUCUGCUGACCUUCCCUCCACUAUUGUCCUAUGACCCUGCCAAAUCCCCCUCUGCGAGAAACACCCAAGAAUGAUC